RNAcentral lists this ribosomal RNA (429 nucleotides) under Chloroflexota bacterium. RNAcentral describes it as "Chloroflexi bacterium partial 16S ribosomal RNA". It matches the Rfam family "Bacterial small subunit ribosomal RNA", at positions 355 to 776 of the family's 1533-position model. The record is from RNAcentral. Lineage: Bacteria; Bacillati; Chloroflexota.
UGGGGAAUAUUGCACAAUGGGCGCAAGCCUGAUGCAGCCAUGCCGCGUGUGUGAAGAAGGCCUUCGGGUUGUAAAGCACUUUCAGCGGGGAGGAAGGCGAUAAGGUUCAUAACCUUGUCGAUUGACGUUACCCGCAGAAGAAGCACCGGCUAACUCCGUGCCAGCAGCCGCGGUAAUACGGAGGGUGCAAGCGUUAAUCUGAAUUACUGGGCGUAAAGCGCACGCAGGCGGUCUGUCAAGUCGGAUGUGAAAACCCCGGGCUUAACCUGGUAACUGCAUUCGAAGCUGGCAGGCUAGAGUCUUGUAGAGGGGGGUAGAAUUCCAGGUGUAGCGGUGAAAUACGUAGAGAUCUGGGGGAAUACCGGUGGCGAGGGCGGCCCCCUGGACGAAGACUGACGCUCAGGUGCGAAAGCGUGGGGAGCAAACAGG